CAUAUUUAUUAACAACAAAAGCACCUACCAAUAAAAAAACAUGUAAGUGCAAAUCUUUGGACUCACUGCGUUGUAAAAUUGCAUUAAUCCAGUCAAUACCACAAUAUGAAGGCAACAACAUUACUUGUCUUGAUAUGCUUUACUGUUUUUUUAAUGUUUAUAGAUUCAUCAUGUUACGAAAGUGAUGAGUUUACACCUGAAAUAGCUUGCAACAAAAUCCCCAGUUUGGUCCGAAUUGAUAAAUGUUUUAAAAAUGAAAAUUGCUAUGCUAUUCUUAAAAACUACGUAAAAAGUCCUGUAAUUAUGAAAUACAUAGUGCUUUACAAAAAGCUCAAGAAAGCAACAUCUACUCAGGAGUUAAAAGAACUUUGUGAAGAAACUUCUAUACUUGUUCCAGUAACUGCAUCGUUAUCAAAAUGUAAAGCAGAUGUAUUAAGGCAGUGUGUGAAUAAGGCUGGCGCCAUUUACCCAGCUUUUCAUAUAUACUUGCUCAAAAUUUGCACUAAGCAGGAAUCAUAAGUAGAGUAGAAAUAGUAUCCAACAGCUUAAACGCUUUAUUUUUAGAUAUUUUUAUUAUAAAAAAUAAUGAAUUUAAUAAAAAUGUUAAUUAAUCGUU
Molecule: long non-coding RNA, 616 nt
Organism: Anthonomus grandis grandis
Lineage: Eukaryota; Metazoa; Arthropoda; Insecta; Coleoptera; Curculionidae
Exons: 2
Source: RefSeq, a predicted model, not a curated record